AUGACCCCACGUCUCCUCUUCCUUUACUGAACGAGACUGAAAUAGUUUUAGCUACUCCAGGGUGAUUUGAGGGGGCGGUAGUACUUUGGAUGCCUAAAGCGACUUUGAGGAGACUGCAAGUCAAUUCCAACUGAUAGAGGGACCGACGAGAGUUUGAAUGGGGAAUAAAUCAGUUUCACAGGAUCUUACCACCAGAGGGCGCUCCUUCUCUGGAUAAUAUGGAGCUGUGAUCAACAUGUAUCAGGCUGAUUUUCAGACAGCGGUUUAAAAACAAGAACAAUGAAUGUGGAGUUCUGUCAGUUCUAGGUCUUGUUCAACAAUUGACAGGGUUUUAGGUAAUUUAAAAAGUCUAGUAUGGGGGGGGGGGGGGGGUGUUGCUGUUACCGGUGGACAGAAUAAUCCAUCUGACAGGCCCGGAGCUCCUUAUCUCUAUCCUAUUCCAUAAGUUGUCUGGAUCAUAAAGCACUGAGUGUUGCACCUACCUGCCUGAUGCUUUGGCAGCUUGAAAGACCAUGGCUCCAUCUGUAGGUGGACAGUCAACCCGUGAGACGAGCUACAUGGACUACUAAAUGGACUGGUGCUACAUGCCUUAAGUGUGUCAUGUUGUGGUUCCUCUGCUCACAGUAGAACAGCAGUCAGUUUUGAGUGAUUAGGAUGUAGUUGCCUUAUUAGACCGCUUGCUUGGUUAAGACCUGGCCUAAUGGCCUUGCAUUGCAAAAACUGUCUAGUGUGUAAUGGUCUAAUGACACCAUGCUAUAGCUGUAAGCAAAAUACAAAGUCAGUAGAUGGUUGUGAUUAUCCGAGCAUUGUUUGGCUCUUAGGAAAUAAUUAAAUCCAUUUGUUUUACAACCACCCCUAUCCAAAACAACACUUAACAUAGAUAUCACUGUUUUUGCACCCGAGCAUUUGACUUCGCAGCAAAUUAUGCUUUCAUAAUCUGGACCUUCUACUUUUCUUUUCUUUAAACGUGGCAAUCACAGAGGACACAUGCUAAAGCUGGUAUAUAAGGCUAUGUGCAUUAUAUAUAUGUACAUUAUCUUUUCCCUGCCAUUGCCCAAAAAUAACAUUCUCAUUAAAGAUGCAUUACAGAAACUUAAGCACAGCAAAUUUGUAUUGUGUUACUAAUUGGAUUCCUAAUGUAUCAUAUGAAUUGCAUGCAAAAUAAAGGUUGUAACAUAAUAAAAUAGAUUAUCUAGUACAUAAUUGGAUGACAGUGUCCUCCUGACAAUGUAAAUAAACAACAGUUUACAAAGAUGUUUAGACUAUUU
Long non-coding RNA from Esox lucius (northern pike), 1268 nucleotides. Lineage: Eukaryota; Metazoa; Chordata; Actinopteri; Esociformes; Esocidae. The record is from Ensembl.